Molecule: ribosomal RNA, 524 nt
Filed under: uncultured bacterium
Lineage: Bacteria
Description: bacterial SSU rRNA
Rfam family: Bacterial small subunit ribosomal RNA
Source: RNAcentral
AGAGUUUGAUCAUGGCUCAGGAUGAACGCUAGCUACAGGCUUAACACAUGCAAGUCGAGGGGCAGCAGGACGAUAGCUUGCUAUUGUUGCUGGCGACCGGCGCACGGGUGAGUAACGCGUAUCCAACCUUCCCCUUAGUAGGGCAUAGCCCGGUGAAAAUCGGAUUAAUACCCUAUGUUGUGUCAUGAGGACAUCUGAAUAACACUAAAGAUUUUAUCGCUAAGGGAUGGGGAUGCGUCCGAUUAGGUAGUCGGCGGGGUAACGGCCCACCGAGCCCUCGAUCGGUAGGGGUUCUGAGAGGAAGGUCCCCCACACUGGUACUGAGACACGGACCAGACUCCUACGGGAGGCAGCAGUGAGGAAUAUUGGUCAAUGGGCGUAAGCCUGAACCAGCCAAGUUAAGCGUGCAGGAUGACGGCCCUAUGGGUUGUAAACUGCUUUUAUACGGGGAUAAAGUGAGGGACGUGUCCCUUAUUGUAGGUACCGUAUGAAUAAGGACCGGCUAAUUCCGUGCCAGCCGCAGC